Molecule: ribosomal RNA, 455 nt
Filed under: uncultured bacterium
Lineage: Bacteria
Description: bacterial SSU rRNA
Rfam family: Bacterial small subunit ribosomal RNA
Source: RNAcentral
UACGGAAGGCAGCAGUGGGGAAUAUUGCACAAUGGGCGCAAGCCUGAUGCAGCCAUGCCGCGUGUAUGAAAAAGGCCUUCGGGUUGUAAAGUACUUUCAGUCGUGAGGAAGGUGUUAAGGUUAAUAACCUUAGCAAUUGACGUUAGCGACAGAAGAAGCACCGGCUAACUCCGUGCCAGCAGCCGCGGUAAUACGGAGGGUGCGAGCGUUAAUCGGAAUUACUGGGCGUAAAGGGCACGCAGGCGGUUAAUUAAGUUGGAUGUGAAAUCCCCGGGCUUAACCUGGGAAUGGCAUUCAAGACUGGUUAGCUAGAGUCUUGUAGAGGGGGUAGAAUUCCAUGUGUAGCGGUGAAAUGCGUAGAGAUGUGGAGGAAUACCGGUGGCGAAGGCGGCCCCUGGACAAAGACUGACGCUCAUGUGCGAAAGCGUGGGGAGCAAACGAGGAUUAGAUACCCG